UUGAACGCUGGCGGCAGGCCUAACACAUGCAAGUCGAACGGUAACAGGAAACAGCUUGCUGUUUCGCUGACGAGUGGCGGACGGGUGAGUAAUGUCUGGGAAACUGCCUGAUGGAGGGGGAUAACUACUGGAAACGGUAGCUAAUACCGCAUAACGUCGCAAGACCAAAGAGGGGGACCUUCGGGCCUCUUGCCAUCGGAUGUGCCCAGAUGGGAUUAGCUAGUAGGUGGGGUAACGGCUCACCUAGGCGACGAUCCCUAGCUGGUCUGAGAGGAUGACCAGCCACACUGGAACUGAGACACGGUCCAGACUCCUACGGGAGGCAGCAGUGGGGAAUAUUGCACAAUGGGCGCAAGCCUGAUGCAGCCACGCCGCGUGUAUGAAGAAGGCCUUCGGGUUGUAAAGUACUUUCAGCGGGGAGGAAGGGAGUAAAGUUAAUACCUUUGCUCAUUGACGUUACCCGCAGAAGAAGCACCGGCUAACUCCGUG
This 489-nucleotide ribosomal RNA is filed under the name uncultured bacterium. Its description in RNAcentral is "partial 16S ribosomal RNA". It matches the Rfam family "Bacterial small subunit ribosomal RNA", at positions 30 to 507 of the family's 1533-position model. The record is from RNAcentral.